Molecule: unclassified non-coding RNA, 2636 nt
Filed under: Hevea brasiliensis (rubber tree)
Lineage: Eukaryota; Viridiplantae; Streptophyta; Magnoliopsida; Malpighiales; Euphorbiaceae
Source: RNAcentral
GACAAAAACUGUGUUGUGGACCAGAGUAUUCCUACUUUUAUUCUCUUCACAAAGACCACAGGGAAAAGGAAGCCCUUUUGUUCUCUCUUUCUCUCUUGUUAUUUUAGGUUAAACGCUUGCUUAAGAGCUUCUCUAAUUGGGGUUUCAACUCUAAUAUAUAGCACAAAACUGAGACUCUUUAGCCUGUGGACUUGAGGUUUGCAGGAAGAUUCCAGGCAACCAAACCAAACGAUAAAGCCUUAUAUAUUUCUCUUUCUCUUUCCCUCUUUUUGCUGUUUUGCACUUAAAAAACACUUGGUUUAGGGUUGCAGCCUUGCAGAGAGUGGUGCAGAAAGAGACAGAGAGAGAAAGAAAGAGAGAGAGGGAGAGGCAAUAAUUAGGAGCUGGACUAGUGUGCAGGCUAUGGAAGAGAAAUGGCAUGACCUUGUCGGUUGUUCUGCAAGAGUUCUCUUGUUCUGGGACUGGGUAAUCAUCCAUCUCUUAUACUUAUCACUGUUUUUUUAGUACAAAAGCCACAAAACCAGCCCACCUGUUGCUUUGAUACAUGGAUUUUAUAGGGUUGGAUGGGAUUUUGGGAAACAGCCCUCUUAUGCAUCGCUCUCCUACUAUGCUUUUCACCUCUUCUUUCUUAUAAUUUUAAGAAUUUAAGAUUUCUUCCUUAAUAGCUUCUGCAACUAUCAGCUGCACGGUGCAAUUACAGCUUUGUUACUUCAAAAUCUACAGUUUAAUUGAUUAAGGUAAGUAUUAGUUUAUUCUAGAUAGUAGGGGGCCACAGUAGUCUCAUUUUUCCCGUUUAAUAUUUUUUUUAAUGAAUUUUCUUUUUCUUUUUCCUUUUCCCUGUAUGUCUUUUUAAAAUUGGGUUUCGCAGAAAUUAAUCUCUUCUAAGUCUAAUCAUAAGUCUAUACACUGCUCAAUCACUUGCUUACGUCUUUAGGAAAUAGGGUUCAAAUCAGUGAAACGAGUUGGUGGAUAUCCAUCCAUAAACGUCAAAAUCAGAAUAAGAAAGGAGACUAAUCUUCAGAGUUACCUAGUGAUUAGUUCUUUGAUGAUCGGCUUAAUUUGUUCUGGGAUUGGAUUUGGAUGGGCUAAACUAGGGUUGAAAGGUUCAAAGGAAGAUGCCAUGGUUUUGACAGAGAUAAUCAGGAAGAUGAUGACGAUUUGAGAAGUGGAGGGUACUAGAUAUCAAGACUUAGGUUCAAAGCUUUUAUCUCGCAGAUCAGUUUGAUGGAACUGAGAGGCCUAGAGAAGGAGAUGCCAAGCUCUCUGGAUUACAAUACACCUAAUAGAGAUUCCUCCUGCAAAAUCCCUUCUGCUUCUAUAAUUUCAGCCUUCGGAGCAACAAAAAGUGAUCAUCGUCAUCAAACCGUUACACCUCAAACUCUUGAACACCAUCUUCCACUUAAUCUGCAACAUCAAACUCUCAAACCAGCUAGAGAUCCUGACCAAACCCCAGAUCCAACUCCGGCUCCACUUUCACUUCCAAUUGCUGCCACAAGAGCAACAUCACCUACUGCCAGUAGAUCCAUUUCUAUAUCACCGCCACCACCACCAGCAUCAACAGCUAUCGCCACCGCAUCGACAACAUCAGUUAGAUAUCGAGAAUGUUUGAGAAAUCACGCAGCAAACAUGGGAGGAAUCGUCGUCGAUGGAUGUGGAGAAUUCAUGCCAAGCGGCGAGGAGGGCACCCCAGAAGCGUUGAAAUGUGCAGCUUGUGAAUGCCAUAGGAACUUCCACAGAAAAGAGAUUGGUGGGGAAAAGCCACAAUGCGCAGCCAAUUGUUACUACAAAAACAAUAACCAAAGAAAUACAUUACCUCUUCCUCAACAACUCGCCACUUCACUUCCUUCACCACAGGCUCCUCCUCUUCAAUAUCAUAGAUACCCUCGUGGGUUUUCUUUUAGCGUCUCCACUGCCCCAACUGCACCUAUGAUGAUGACCUUCGGUGGCGGAGGGGGCAGUGGUGGAGCGGAGUCAUCAAGUGAAGAUCUCAAUAUUUUUCAGUCAAAUUUGCAGGGGGUAAGAUCCAAGCGGCCGUCUUCGUUGAAGAAGAGGUUUAGGACAAAGUUUAGCCAAGAACAGAAGGACAAGAUGAUGGAAUUUGCAGAAAGAUUGGGAUGGAAGAUUCAGAAACAAGAUGAGCAAGAAGUGCAGCAGUUUUGCUCACGAGUGGGUGUAAAGCGAAAAGUUUUCAAGGUUUGGAUGCAUAACAACAAACAAUCCAUGAAGAAAAAGCAAAUGUAAGAGCAAUUCUAACCCUUGAAAAACAUAUAUUAUCGUUACUGAAAGAUAAUAUAUAUGUGUCUACAAUAAUAGAUUAUAUGUGCAUAACCGAUCAAAUAAAAGGGAUGAUGAAUAUAGGUUAGCAGUGGCUAUUAAUUUUUCCCCCUUUCAUAUACUCAGAACUGUUUAUUGACAUGAAUCGUUCUUCAUUAGAUGAACGUACAGUGAUCACAAGUUUUUUAGAGUGAAACGAAAUGGGAUUUCUCAAAUUUUCUUUUUCCCAUUGCCUGCCCAAUAUUUUUCUACUGCGUAGAGAGAAAUAUAUGUGCGUGCGUGUGUGUGAUGUUUAAAAAGAAAAAAAAUGAGAGUGAUAAGAUUAAAAGGCUAAUUAGAAUUUCAGUUAAAAUUAAAUCAAA